Molecule: ribosomal RNA, 1368 nt
Filed under: uncultured bacterium
Lineage: Bacteria
Description: bacterial SSU rRNA
Rfam family: Bacterial small subunit ribosomal RNA
Source: RNAcentral
GACGAACGCUGGCGGCGUGCCUAAUACAUGCAAGUUGAGCGCUGAAGGUUGGUACUUGUACCAACUGGAUGAGCAGCGAACGGGUGAGUAACGCGUGGGGAAUCUGCCUUUGAGCGGGGGACAACAUUUGGAAACGAAUGCUAAUACCGCAUAAAAACUUUAAACACAGGUUUUAAGUUUGAAAGAUGCAAUUGCAUCACUCAAAGAUGAUCCCGCGUUGUAUUAGCUAGUUGGUGAGGUAAAGGCUCACCAAGGCGAUGAUACAUAGCCGACCUGAGAGGGUGAUCGGCCACAUUGGGACUGAGACACGGCCCAAACUCCUACGGGAGGCAGCAGUAGGGAAUCUUCGGCAAUGGACGAAAGUCUGACCGAGCAACGCCGCGUGAGUGAAGAAGGUUUUCGGAUCGUAAAACUCUGUUGGUAGAGAAGAACGUUGGUGAGAGUGGAAAGCUCAUCAAGUGACGGUAACUACCCAGAAAGGGACGGCUAACUACGUGCCAGCAGCCGUGGUAAUACGUAGGUCCCGAGCGUUGUCCGGAUUUAUUGGGCGUAAAGCGAGCGCAGGUGGUUUAUUAAGUCUGGUGUAAAAGGCAGUGGCUCAACCAUUGUAUGCAUUGGAAACUGGUAGACUUGAGUGCAGGAGAGGAGAGUGGAAUUCCAUGUGUAGCGGUGAAAUGCGUAGAUAUAUGGAGGAACACCGGUGGCGAAAGCGGCUCUCUGGCCUGUAACUGACACUGAGGCUCGAAAGCGUGGGGAGCAAACAGGAUUAGAUACCCUGGUAGUCCACGCCGUAAACGAUGAGUGCUAGAUGUAGGGAGCUAUAAGUUCUCUGUAUCGCAGCUAACGCAAUAAGCACUCCGCCUGGGGAGUACGACCGCAAGGUUGAAACUCAAAGGAAUUGACGGGGGCCCGCACAAGCGGUGGAGCAUGUGGUUUAAUUCGAAGCAACGCGAAGAACCUUACCAGGUCUUGACAUACUCGUGCUAUUCCUAGAGAUAGGAAGUUCCUUCGGGACACGGGAUACAGGUGGUGCAUGGUUGUCGUCAGCUCGUGUCGUGAGAUGUUGGGUUAAGCCCCGCAACGAGCGCAACCCCUAUUGUUAGUUGCCAUCAUUAAGUUGGGCACUCUAACGAGACUGCCGGUGAUAAACCGGAGGAAGGUGGGGAUGACGUCAAAUCAUCAUGCCCCUUAUGACCUGGGCUACACACGUGCUACAAUGGAUGGUACAACGAGUCGCGAGACAGUGAUGUUUAGCUAAUCUCUUAAAACCAUUCUCAGUUCGGAUUGUAGGCUGCAACUCGCCUACAUGAAGUCGGAAUCGCUAGUAAUCGCGGAUCAGCACGCCGCGGUGAAUACGUUCCCGGGCCU